RNAcentral lists this transfer RNA (72 nucleotides) under Peronosclerospora sorghi. RNAcentral describes it as "tRNA-Gly". It matches the Rfam family "tRNA". Rfam says of the family: Transfer RNA (tRNA) molecules are approximately 80 nucleotides in length. Their secondary structure includes four short double-helical elements and three loops (D, anti-codon, and T loops). Lineage: Eukaryota; Oomycota; Peronosporomycetes; Peronosporales; Peronosporaceae. The record is from RNAcentral.
GCAAAAAUAGCUCAAAGGUAGAGUAUAACCUUGCCAAGGUUAAUGUUGAGGGUUCAAAUCCCUUUUUUUGCU